Molecule: ribosomal RNA, 253 nt
Filed under: uncultured bacterium
Lineage: Bacteria
Description: partial 16S ribosomal RNA
Rfam family: Bacterial small subunit ribosomal RNA
Source: RNAcentral
GACAGAGGGUGCAAACGUUGUUCGGAAUUACUGGGCGUAAAGCGCGUGUAGGCGGCCCUGCAAGUCGGAUGUGAAAUCCCACGGCUCAACCGUGGAAGUGCAUUCGAAACUGCAGGGCUAGAGUCCUGGAGAGGAAGGUGGAAUGCUUGGUGUAGAGGUGAAAUUCGUAGAUAUCAAGCGGAACACCGAUGGCGAAGGCGGCACUCUGGGCCGGAACUGACGCUGAGGAGCGAAAGCGUGGGGAGCGAACAGG